UACGUAGGGUGCGAGCGUUAAUCGGAAUUACUGGGCGUAAAGUGUGCGCAGGCGGCAGAGCAAGUCGAGUGUGAAAGCCCCGGGCUUAACUUGGGAAUUGCGCUCGAAACUACUUUGCUGGAGUGUGGCAGAGGAAGGUGGAAUUCCACGUGUAGCGGUGAAAUGCGUAGAGAUGUGGAGGAACACCAAUGGCGAAGACAGCCUUCUGGGCCAACACUGACGCUCAUGCACGAAAGCGUGGGGAGCAAACAGG
This 253-nucleotide ribosomal RNA is filed under the name uncultured bacterium. RNAcentral describes it as "partial 16S ribosomal RNA". It matches the Rfam family "Bacterial small subunit ribosomal RNA", at positions 524 to 776 of the family's 1533-position model. The record is from RNAcentral.